UUUGUUUUUGAAUAACAUGUACAUAAUAUGCCAAAAAUUCCAAACCGGUGAUGGAAUAGCUCACAUAAUUUUGCAACCAAACCAGAAAUAGAUAGAUAUCGGUUUGGUAGAGUGCUUUUGGAUUUUAGUGGUUUAACAUUAAACCGUCAAUAAAAAUCCCUAACCAAGCGUGCGGGCAUGCAUAAAGACGGUUUUACCCUUUAAUUCCUCCACCCUCGAUGAAUACUCUCUCUCUCUCUCUCGCAUCAAUCGAAAGCAGAGUUUAUAUCAUUCCUCCAUCAAUCUCUCGGGUCUCGGCGACGGUAACGACAAAUCUCCUUGCGGCUAAAAGAAAGAAGAAGAAGAAAGAAGAAGGUUAUGACGACAAUCAGUCUUCGGAAGGCAAACACAAAACUCCCACCAGAGCGAGGAGAUGUACGAUAUCUUCGGCAAGUACGGCGCCAUCCGCCAGAUUCGAAUCGGCUGCGACAAGGCGACGAAAGGCACGGCGUUCGUCGUUUACGAGGAUAUAUACGACGCCAAGAACGCCGUCGACCAUCUCUCCGGCUUCAACGUGGCGAAUAGGUACCUAAUCGUGCUGUAUUACCAGCACGCGAAGAUGAGCAAGAAGUUUGACCAGAAGAAGACUGAAGAGGAGAUCACCAAGCUGCAGGAGAAGUAUGGAGUCUCUACUAAAGUAUAAGUAAAUUAAUUGUCUUCUUCGAUUCCUUUUUGGUCGUCCUGUGAAGUCUUCUUCUUGGACUUUUGGGGUUUUUUGAAUUUAGUUGCUCGUUUGUUCUGUAUAUUGACAAAGCAGUGAAUGAGAUACCUUUUUUUUUUUUUUUU
Camelina sativa (false flax) is the source of this 825-nucleotide non-coding RNA. The record is from RefSeq and is a predicted model, not a curated record. Lineage: Eukaryota; Viridiplantae; Streptophyta; Magnoliopsida; Brassicales; Brassicaceae.